GGAACCGGAGCUAAUACCGGAUAAUAUAUUGAACCGCAUGGUUCAAUAGUGAAAGACGGUUUUGCUGUCACUUAUAGAUGGAUCCGCGCCGCAUUAGCUAGUUGGUAAGGUAACGGCUUACCAAGGCAACGAUGCGUAGCCGACCUGAGAGGGUGAUCGGCCACACUGGAACUGAGACACGGUCCAG
RNAcentral lists this ribosomal RNA (187 nucleotides) under uncultured Staphylococcus sp. RNAcentral's name for it is "partial 16S ribosomal RNA". It matches the Rfam family "Bacterial small subunit ribosomal RNA", at positions 153 to 334 of the family's 1533-position model. Lineage: Bacteria; Bacillati; Bacillota; Bacilli; Caryophanales; Staphylococcaceae. The record is from RNAcentral.